AGCAUACUCCCUCCGUCCGGAAAUACUUGUCAUCAAAAUGGACAAAAGGAGAUGUAUCUAGACGUAUUUUAGUUUUAGAUACAAUCCUUUUUAUCCAUUUUGAUGACAAGUAUUUUCAGACGGAGGGAGUAUUAA
This is a non-coding RNA of Triticum aestivum (bread wheat), 135 nucleotides long. The record is from Rfam. NCBI's taxonomy places the organism in Eukaryota, Viridiplantae, Streptophyta, Magnoliopsida, Poales, Poaceae.